CUCCUUAUAGCUCAGUGGUAGAGCAUUCGACUGUAAAUUUAGAGCCGUACUCGAGGGGCCGCUGGUUCGACUCCGGCUGAGGAGA
This 85-nucleotide transfer RNA is filed under the name Ecytonucleospora hepatopenaei. RNAcentral's name for it is "Enterocytozoon sp. ST-2009a tRNA". It matches the Rfam family "tRNA". From Rfam's summary of the family: Transfer RNA (tRNA) molecules are approximately 80 nucleotides in length. Their secondary structure includes four short double-helical elements and three loops (D, anti-codon, and T loops). Lineage: Eukaryota; Fungi; Microsporidia; Enterocytozoonidae. The record is from Rfam by way of RNAcentral.